Molecule: transfer RNA, 74 nt
Filed under: Prunus dulcis (almond)
Lineage: Eukaryota; Viridiplantae; Streptophyta; Magnoliopsida; Rosales; Rosaceae
Description: tRNA tRNA.Ile
Rfam family: tRNA
About the family: Transfer RNA (tRNA) molecules are approximately 80 nucleotides in length. Their secondary structure includes four short double-helical elements and three loops (D, anti-codon, and T loops). Further hydrogen bonds mediate the characteristic L-shaped molecular structure. tRNAs have two regions of fundamental functional importance: the anti-codon, which is responsible for specific mRNA codon recognition, and the 3' end, to which the tRNAs corresponding amino acid is attached (by aminoacyl-tRNA synthetases). tRNAs cope with the degeneracy of the genetic code in two manners: having more than one tRNA (with a specific anti-codon) for a particular amino acid; and 'wobble' base-pairing, i.e. permitting non-standard base-pairing at the 3rd anti-codon position.
Source: Rfam by way of RNAcentral
AGCCUAUUAGCUUAGCUGGUUAGAGCGUUGUGCUAAUAACGCGAAGGUCGCAGGUUCGAGACCUACAUGGGCCA